AGGAGGAGGAGGAGGAGGAGAAGCUAGCGGCGGCGGCGGCAAUGGCGACGAGCGGGCUGAGGAGCUGCAGCGCGGUGGGCGUGCCGAGCCUGCUGGCGCCGUCGUCGAACAGGAGCCGCCUGCCGGUCUGCGCCUACGCCACCACCUCCGGGCGCGUCACCAUGUCCGCCGAGUGGAUGCCGGGCCAGCCACGCCCCGCCCACCUCGACGGCUCCUCUCCCGGUGACUUCGGGUUCGACCCGCUGGGCCUCGCCACCGUGCCGGAGAACUUCGAGCGGUUCAAGGAGUCGGAGGUGUACCACUGCCGGUGGGCCAUGCUCGCUGUGCCUGGGGUGUUGGUGCCGGAGGCGCUGGGGCUGGGCAACUGGGUGCAGGCGCAGGAGUGGGCGGCGGAGCCCGGCGGCCAGGCCACGUACCUCGGCAACCCGGUGCCAUGGGGCACGCUGCCGACGAUCCUGGUCAUCGAGUUCGUCGCCAUCGCCUUCGCCGAGCACCAGCGCACCAUGGAGAAGGACCCCGAGAAGAAGAAGUACCCCGGCGGCGCCUUCGACCCCCUCGGCUUCUCCAAGGACCCCGUCAAGUUCGAGGAGUACAAGCUCAAGGAGAUCAAGAACGGGCGAUUGGCCAUGCUGGCUUUUGUGGGUUUCUGCGUCCAACAGUCGGCGUACCCGGGCACCGGCCCACUGGAGAACCUGGCCAGCCACCUCUCGGACCCGUGGCACAACAACAUCGGCGACAUCAUCAUCCCGAGAACCAUCUACCCUUGAGCUUGGCACGAACCGGUGCGUGCGUCCGGGCGUACGUGAAGGCUAUGGGUGGUUUUUAUGUGCGUGCGUACUGUGUGUGAUUGGUUGAUUAUUGCGCGCGCGUGCGCACGCAGUGGUCGGCCGGCAGGCAGCUGCUGGUUGGCCUUGUAAUGUAAAGCUUAAGUAGAGGGUGCUCUCUUGUGAAUCCGUCCAUCUUAAUUUUUGUAUCAAA
This 978-nucleotide unclassified non-coding RNA is filed under the name Hevea brasiliensis (rubber tree). Lineage: Eukaryota; Viridiplantae; Streptophyta; Magnoliopsida; Malpighiales; Euphorbiaceae. The record is from RNAcentral.